RNAcentral lists this ribosomal RNA (447 nucleotides) under uncultured bacterium. Its description in RNAcentral is "bacterial SSU rRNA". It matches the Rfam family "Bacterial small subunit ribosomal RNA", at positions 355 to 825 of the family's 1533-position model. The record is from RNAcentral.
UGGGGAAUAUUGGACAAUGGGCGCAAGCCUGAUCCAGCCAUGCCGCGUGAGUGACGAAGGCCUUAGGGUUGUAAAGCUCUUUUGGCGGGGACGAUAAUGACGGUACCCGCAGAAUAAGCCCCGGCUAACUUCGUGCCAGCAGCCGCGGUAAUACGAAGGGGGCUAGCGUUGUUCGGAAUUACUGGGCGUAAAGCGCACGUAGGCGGACUUUCAAGUCAGGGGUGAAAUCUCUGGGCUUAACCCAGAACGGCCAAGUGAUACUGUCGCGCUAGAGUGCAGAAGGGGCAAUCGGAAUUCUUGGUGUAGCGGUGAAAUGCGUAGAUAUCAAGAGGAACACCUGAGGUGAAGACGGGUUGCUGGGCUGACACUGACGCUGAGGCGCGAAAGCUAGGGUAGCAAACGGGAUUAGAUACCCAAGUAGUCCCUGAGCGGGCUGGCAAGGCGCAU